GACGAACGCUGGCGGCGUGCUUAACACAUGCAAGUCGAACGGAAAGGCCCUGCUUUUGUGGGGUGCUCGAGUGGCGAACGGGUGAGUAACACGUGAGUAACCUGCCCUUGACUUUGGGAUAACUUCAGGAAACUGGGGCUAAUAUCGGAUAGGAGCUCCUGCUGCAUGGUGGGGGUUGGAAAGUUUCGGCGGUUGGGGAUGGACUCGCGGCUUAUCAGCUUGUUGGUGGGGUAGUGGCUUACCAAGGCUUUGACGGGUAGCCGGCCUGAGAGGGUGACCGGCCACAUUGGGACUGAGAUACGGCCCAGACUCCUACGGGAGGCAGCAGUGGGGAAUAUUGCACAAUGGGCGGAAGCCUGAUGCAGCAACGCCGCGUGCGGGAUGACGGCCUUCGGGUUGUAAACCGCUUUCGCCUGUGACGAAGCGUGAGUGACGGUAAUGGGUAAAGAAGCACCAGCUAACUACGUG
Molecule: ribosomal RNA, 468 nt
Filed under: uncultured bacterium
Lineage: Bacteria
Description: partial 16S ribosomal RNA
Rfam family: Bacterial small subunit ribosomal RNA
Source: RNAcentral